UACUAGAGUAGCACUCGCAUAUCAAUAAGCGGAGGAAAAGAAACUAACAAGGAUUCCCCUAGUAACGGCGAGUGAAGCGGGAAGAGCUCAAAUUUGAAAUCUUAAAGGGUUUCCCUUUACGAAUUGUAGUUUAAAGAAGUGUUUUCUGUUGAGGUUUUGGUAAAAGUUCUUUGGAAUAGGACAUCAUAGAGGGUGAGAAUCCCGUAUUUGACCUUUACUUUCAACUUUGUGAUACACUUUCAAAGAGUCGGAUUGUUUGGGAAUGCAGUCCAAAAUGGGUGGUAAAUUUCAUCUAAAGCUAAAUAUUGGCGAGAGACCGAUAGCGAACAAGUACCGUGAGGGAAAGAUGAAAAGAACUUUGAAAAGAGAGUUAAACAGUAUGUGAAAUUGUCAAAAGGGAAGCGUUUAGACACCAGUGUUGUUUUUCUGAAAAUCAACCUCUUUAAGAACUGUUAUGCUAAGCUUGUUUAGACUUUAUCAGCUAAUCUGUUUAGUUUUGAGCUUUUCUUUAAUGCACUUUUCAGUUAACAAGUCAACAUCAAUUUCUUUUGCUGUAAAAAAGCUUGAGGAAGGUGGCUUGAGAUUCGUCUUAAGUGUUUAUAGCCUCUUGCCUAUGCAGUCGGAGAGAUUGAGGUCUGCAGCGUAGAUCCUUCGGGGCUAAAUGCAUUUGUGCUAAGUUAUAGCAUUUUAUAGACAACUUGUUGACUAUGAUUUGUCUUGUAGCUUACUCGCUUAUGUUAUUUUACCUACGCUUAGGAUGUUGAGUAGCGACAUACGCAC
RNAcentral lists this ribosomal RNA (780 nucleotides) under uncultured Neocallimastigales. RNAcentral describes it as "partial large subunit ribosomal RNA". It matches the Rfam family "Eukaryotic large subunit ribosomal RNA", at positions 20 to 645 of the family's 3401-position model. The record is from RNAcentral. Lineage: Eukaryota; Fungi; Neocallimastigomycota; Neocallimastigomycetes; Neocallimastigales.